RNAcentral lists this ribosomal RNA (427 nucleotides) under uncultured bacterium. RNAcentral's name for it is "partial 16S ribosomal RNA". It matches the Rfam family "Bacterial small subunit ribosomal RNA", at positions 355 to 774 of the family's 1533-position model. The record is from RNAcentral.
UAGGGAAUCUUCGGCAAUGGGGGGAACCCUGACCGAGCAACGCCGCGUGAGUGAAGAAGGUUUUCGGAUCGUAAAGCUCUGUUGUAAGAGAAGAACGGGUGUGAGAGUGGAAAGUUCACACUGUGACGGUAUCUUACCAGAAAGGGACGGCUAACUACGUGCCAGCAGCCGCGGUAAUACGUAGGUCCCGAGCGUUGUCCGGAUUUAUUGGGCGUAAAGCGAGCGCAGGCGGUUAGAUAAGUCUGAAGUUAAAGGCUGUGGCUUAUCCAUAGUAUGCUUUGGAAACUGUUUAACUUGAGUGCAGAAGGGGAGAGUGGAAUUCCAUGUGUAGCGGUGAAAUGCGUAGAUAUAUGGAGGAACACCGGUGGCGAAAGCGGCUCUCUGGUCUGUAACUGACGCUGAGGCUCGAAAGCGUGGGGAGCAAACA